CUACGUGCCAGCAGCCGCGGUAAUACGUAGGUGGCAAGCGUUGUCCGGAAUUAUUGGGCGUAAAGCGCGCGCAGGCGGAUUGGUCAGUCUGUCUUAAAAGUUCGGGGCUUAACCCCGUGAUGGGAUGGAAACUGCUGAUCUAGAGUAUCGGAGAGGAAAGUGGAAUUCCUAGUGUAGCGGUGAAAUGCGUAGAUAUUAGGAAGAACACCAGUGGCGAAGGCGACUUUCUGGACGAAAACUGACGCUGAGGCGCGAAAGCCAGGGGAGCGAACGGGAUUAGAUACCCCGGUAGUCCUGGCCGUAAACGAUGGGUACUAGGUGUAGGAGGUAUCGACCCCUUCUGUGCCGGAGUUAACGCAAUAAGUACCCCGCCUGGGGAGUACGACCGCAAGGUUGAAACUCAAAGGAAUUGACGGGGGCCCGCACAAGCGGUGGAGUAUGUGGUUUAAUUCGACGCAACGCGAAGAACCUUACCAGGUCUU
RNAcentral lists this ribosomal RNA (482 nucleotides) under uncultured bacterium. RNAcentral's name for it is "bacterial SSU rRNA". It matches the Rfam family "Bacterial small subunit ribosomal RNA", at positions 501 to 982 of the family's 1533-position model. The record is from RNAcentral.